CGAUCUGGAUAAUUGCUAGCGUUGCUAGAGGAAAGUCCAUGCUCGCACCAUCUGAGAUGAUGGUAGUGAUUGCGCUAACGGAAAAAAUAACGUUAGGUAUGCAGGAGUGCAUAACGGCGGAACUAGUCUAAAACUAUGUCAUGAUGAUGUUCCUGAAGGUGCCACAGAGACGAGCUUGAUAGAAAUGUCAAGGUGGAACGAUGGUAAACCCCACAAGCGAGAAACCCAAAUUUGGUAGGGGAGGUCGAACGGAAGAAUUCAAUUCCAAUCGGCAUGUGAAAGCAUAGAUAAAUUAUUAUCCUAGACAAAACAUGGCUUAUAGGA
RNAcentral lists this RNase P RNA (324 nucleotides) under Bacillota bacterium. RNAcentral describes it as "RNase P RNA component class B". It matches the Rfam family "Bacterial RNase P class B". From Rfam's summary of the family: Ribonuclease P (RNase P) is a ubiquitous endoribonuclease, found in archaea, bacteria and eukarya as well as chloroplasts and mitochondria. The record is from RNAcentral. Lineage: Bacteria; Bacillati; Bacillota.